UUGAAACUUGGAACCGUGAACAAAAUGGGGUGGUUGAAAGGAAGCACCAAUCCAGGAACACAAAUUAAAUGUGGCUAGGAUAUUCAUGUUUCAGUUUCAUUUACCUCUUCCCUUUUGGUCUUUUACCACUCACAUGUAGUGCAUAUAAUUAACAUGCUUCCAUCUGCUACCCUCAAAUUCAAAUCUGAUUCUCCACAUCACAUACAGUUUAAUAUACAACCAUACCACACCUCCAUUAAAGCUUUUAGCUCAUGUGUUAUACUUAUACCAUCACCUCUCACAGAACAAAAUUUGAAAAUGUUUCCAUCUUGGUAACAAAAAUGGCUCAAAAGGUUAGUUAUUGUUUGAUCUACCAGAGAGAAUUUUCUCUCAAGACAUGUCAUCUUUCAUAUCCUACCACAAGAAAAUCAGUCCUCUCCAACAAAACCCACCCCAAUCUCUUGAACCACAUCAUAUCCUACCACAAACAAAUCAGUCCUCUCAUCCACACUCAACCAAUGACUUUCCUCCGUCAAAUAGAAUACCAUCAAGACCAAUAAGAACUCAUAAUAACCUAAACGAUUAUCACUAUAGCAUAGUCUAUGAAGCAUGAACACUCCUCUGAUUAGUCGUGUCCCAUUGUCAAACACGCAUCAGUGUCCAACACCAGCACAUACAAUUACAUUGAAUUAUGUCAUUUUCUCAAAUUGUUAUCUGUGUCAACAAUAUGUCCGGGUUCGUGUCAAUUGCAAAUUUAGUGCCAACUCAUUUUCAGGUACAUGACACUCUUUAUCUCAAUUCCUAUAUCUUAAACUAUAUCACAAAUUCAGAAGAAUAAAACACAUGAAUUAAAAGAGGAAAAACAUAAAACAGUGUAAGAUAAAAUAGAAAACGCACUUUGGUUCCAGGUGCAUGUUGGGAGAGUUCUUCAUCAGGGAUAAUAGCAGGCCAUUGUUCUCCUGCUUCACGGAACAUCUGUUCAGUCUCAAGGUACUGACCUUUCUCCAGAAUCAUCUUAGUUAUAUGGUGCGCCGGCGUCGAUGUUGCAUCGAAAGCUUCUUCCACACCAUUAACGAACGUCACCGUGAUCUGCGGCGGAUGCUCAACGUUUUUACGUUUCACCUCAACUGCGCAGGCAUUGAACUCUCGAUCUUCACUUUUNNNNNNNNNNNNNNNNNNNNNUGCGCUAGAAACUCCAUACACGAUGCGGUUUGUGGAUCUAGUGCAUUGAACUCUCGAUCUUCACUUUUGAUGGGAACUUCAGCAUCUUCGACUUUUGCUUUCUGUUUCUCUGUUGAAGAACCCACCGAGUCUAAUCAAAUUGCAAAGUGGUGAUACUAAAUCAUAAGCCUCAGAAAAUUUGGGUUUAAGAUUUAGUUUUAUUCUCUCAGAAAGCAAAAAAAGGUUUUUUUGUGUAUAAUAGAUUUUUGAAAAAAAAUAUAGUUAAUUAUUUUUAUAUAAAUUAUGAAAAAAAAAUUAUAAUCAAUUUUGAGGAAUCUAUUAUUAUAUUAUUUGGGACCUUUUUUUCAAGGUUUAUUGUACACGUCAUUCUCAAAUAAAUCCUCUUCCAAUAUUGUUUUGACUAUAAAAAUAAAUGAUGAUAACCAAAUUAAUAAAAUUGUUGACCACACACCGUAUGUAAAUAUGAUAAUCUCAAUAAUUACAUUAAUCAUGGUAACCGGUGCUUCGGAAUUAAGGUAACCAAAAGCAUUUAACCAUAAAUAUAUCUACACCCACCAGAAAGCAAAGCAUAUUUUUCAUUUGAAUAAAAAAUAAUAAUUUGUUACUAUUCAGCCCAAUUUUAAAUAGAAAGUUAGUUUUGGCUAAUAAAAAAUAAAAACGGUAUAAAUAAGAAUACCACUGAAAUUUUCUUUGAGACAAAACUCAUUGACAAACAGUUCUACAUUAUCAAAUUUACCAAAAAAAAUAAAUUAGCAACUUGCUUGCGAUGCAAAGUCUUGUAGAGAAUGGAGUGAGUUGAUCCACAAUAAUCCCCACUCCACUAUGUUAAAUAUAAUUGAUUUUUAAACUACAAACAAUCUCAGAAUACACGGUAAAUUUGCAGAAUCACUCGUGAGUUGUGCUUUUGAACUUAAUAAUCUUAUAUCAUUUCAAAGCUUUGUGCAAGACAUUAAAUUAAAAAAGCUACAACAUUCACACAGAGAAUUGUGCAUCAACUUGACUAAAUAAAUUUAAGCAUGGGAAGUCUACAAUUUCAAAAUUCAGCAAUUCAGAGAUAUUGGUUAUUAUUCAAAUCAUAUGUAGUUAUGAACUCAAUAAUAUAGUAAGACGCACAACAGAAGUGAUCAAAUGCUACAUUCUCCACCAAAAGGAAACAGGACAAUUCCCAGCAGUUAAUAAGCUCAACACUUUUUAGUUAUUGCUUCUUCUCCUCUGCUUUCCUUGGCUGGAAGAAAGGACACAUAAACACAUAUUAAUUAAAACAGCUUUAACUAUAGGCCAUGUAGUUAUACACAAACAGAUAGCAUGCCAUUGAAGACAGUUAAAAGAAGCCGCACUAAACACAAAACCAUAUCAGAGUUAUCUGAACAGAAAUUAUAAAACCAUGCAUGCAGAUACUUUCGAGUUGUAGAAGCAUAUGCAACGCAACCACGUAUUACACGGAAAAUUUCCAUCAAACUACAGUGCCAAUGUAGUUACUAUUUACAUUUGCAACAGAAUUAUUUCAUAAUUUUCUAGUCACAGAAACCUAUAGUUCUUCUAAUCGGAUCCCCACAAUUUAGGAUGCGAAUGCACCCAUAACUAAAGCUACAAAGAGUUAAAUCAAUUAGGUGAACCUCAACUCAUCUUAAAAAUCAUCAUUCCUCUACCAACUUAUACGAGAAUACAGACCUGAAAUGAUUUUAAGGUACAGUUUAUAUCAAAAUACUGCUGAAUGAAAAAGUAAAGUCACAACAACCAUACUAAGAUCUUGCUGCACCUAGGAAUGCAGAUAUGAUGCUUACUAUGUAACCAAUGGAAUAAUAUUAAGCGGUUGUUUGGAAAAGCUUAUUUAGACAUAAUUUAUGACAUAAGCAUUUGGGCAUGUGUUUGUAAAUUGCAACAGCUUCUGAAAAUAGCUUUGGAUAUGUCGAUAAAUUAAUUUCAGCUUAUUUUUAUAAGCUCCUCGGAAUAGCUUAUUGUCAUAAGGUGUUCACCCUUUGCAUCUUUAAUUGUUUAGAUGAUCAAUUUCAAUCAGACGAUUAAAUACUGUUAGUUGGUAAGUGUUUGUCAUUUUCUAGUACUCGAUAAGUAGUGAAUUGCUCCUUCUGCAUCAAGUCAUGAGUCAUAAUGACUGAAAUCCUUCCUUCUUCCUUGGCACCACUGUGGCUGCCACAAGCUCUCUUCCUCUUCCUCAAGAUCCAUUAAGCCCCUAUUACAUUCAUCCAAACGAAAAUCCUUCACAAGUUUUGCUCUCACUAGUAAUUGAUGGAGCCAAUUCCCAUGGUUGGGCUAGAGGCCUAGAGCCAUGACCAUGGCACUCCAAAUGAUAAACAAGUUUAAGUUCCGAGAUUGUACCGGCAGCGCUUAUUUGGAUCUGUGGCAGCAUCCCAUUUCUCACGUCCCAAAGCGACAUUACCAUGAAUUUUAUCAAGCUUCAAUUAGUAGCAGCAGUAACUUAACACACAGUGAUACAGUUAGUUGCCACAGAAACAAGUGUGUGUAAGCAUGUUAGAAUUUCUAAAUUAAUAAGUGAUCUCUUCUCCUUUAAGCAAGCUGAUAUGUUUGUUUCAAGCAAUUACACUAAGAUGAGAAUCCUUUGGGGUGAACUAGCAACUUUCGAACUCUCCCUUCUUGCACUUCAUCAGCCACUAGAUUUUGUAAUGCGUCCAAACACCAUUCAACAAUUUCGAGUGAUGAUUGUGUGUAAUGGUUCCUACAAGGGCUGAAUAAUAAUUUUGCCACUGUCCAAUCUCAGAUCUUGUUAAUGGCUCCUAUUUGAUACUUUAUACACACCAAAUCUCUCCACUAUGUUACACGGCUAACCAUAUCCCUUUCUUGUCAGGUUACCUUUACUAAUAAUCACUGUUUCAUUCAGGAGAUACCAUCCAUGAUGAUGAUUGGCAGUGCUAAAGAACAUGCAGUGUUAUACAUGACACAGUGAUAAUUCUUAACGGUCAAGUUCACAUUCCUUUACCAAAAACCCUAAAUGCAUCCCCACACCCAUAAGUGGUGUCACUUUCCAUGAAAUUUGACACCAUAGACUAGGUCAUCCCUAAAAUUGGUGCUAUUCUACUUUGUAAAAAAUGAAUUGUACUACUAUACCUCUUGCUGUAUCAAAAGUGUAUGCAUAUGACGAAGAAACUUUUCUUUACUUAAUAGCAUUAGCGCAUUUUUUGUCAUCUCUGUUUUCGAUUUAAUUUGUGUUAUUAUUACUUCUAACUAUUAUGGAUGACAUGCGUAAAAAAAACACUAUUAUGGAUGACAUAUAAAUAAAUACUUGGAUUCGUUUAAUGGAAACCAAGGCACAAACCCGACAACACUUACACCAAUAUGAGUCUUUUGUUCAAAACCAGUACACGUCCAUAAAAAGAAUCAGAUCUAAUAAUGAAAUGACUCAGUUUUCUAUGCUUUUUUAUUCAACUAAAAGCAUUAAACAUCAAUUGUCAUGUGUUGAAACUCGGAACCCCCAACAAAAUGGGGUUGUUGAAAGGAAGCACCAAGCGAACAACACAAAUUAAAUGUGGCUAGGGCAUUCAUGUUUCAGUUUCAUUUACCUCUUCCCUUUUGGUCUUUUAUCACUCACAUGUAGUGCAUAUAAUUAACAUGCUUCCAUCUGCUACCCUCAAAUUCAAAUCUAAUUCUCCACAUCACAUACAGUUUAAUAUACAAUCAUACCACACCUCCAUUAAAGCUUUUAGCUCAUGUGUUAUACUUAUACCAUCACCUCUAACAUAACAAAAUUUGAAACCUAGGGCUAGAAAAUGUUUCCAUCUUGGUCACAAAAAUGGCUCAAAAGGUUAGUUAUUGUUUGAUCUGAAAACCAGAGAGAUUUUUCUCUCAAGACAUGCCAUCUUUCAUAUCCUACCACAAGAAAAUCAGUCCUCUCAGCCAGCCACCAAAAUCCGCCCCAAU
RNAcentral lists this long non-coding RNA (5055 nucleotides) under Trifolium pratense (red clover). RNAcentral describes it as "long non-coding RNA (TPRA_LNC002079)". The record is from RNAcentral. Lineage: Eukaryota; Viridiplantae; Streptophyta; Magnoliopsida; Fabales; Fabaceae.